AGCGAACGCUGGCGGCAGGCUUUACACAUGCGAGUCGAGCGGGCCCUUCGGGGUCAGCGGCAGACGGGUGAGUAACACGUGGGAACGUACCCUUUGGUUCGGAAUAACGCUGGGAAACUAGCGCUAAUACCGGAUACGCCCUUUUGGGGAAAGGCUUGCUGCCGAAGGAUCGGCCCGCGUCUGAUUAGCUAGUUGGUGGGGUAAUGGCCUACCAAGGCGACGAUCAGUAGCUGGUCUGAGAGGAUGAUCAGCCACACUGGGACUGAGACACGGCCCAGACUCCUACGGGAGGCAGCAGUGGGGAAUAUUGGACAAUGGGCGCAAGCCUGAUCCAGCCAUGCCGCGUGAGUGAUGAAGGCCUUAGGGUUGUAAAGCUCUUUUGUCCGGGACGAUAAUGACGGUACCGGAAGAAUAAGCCCCGGCUAACUUCGUG
This 433-nucleotide ribosomal RNA is filed under the name uncultured bacterium. RNAcentral's name for it is "partial 16S ribosomal RNA". It matches the Rfam family "Bacterial small subunit ribosomal RNA", at positions 29 to 507 of the family's 1533-position model. The record is from RNAcentral.